Molecule: long non-coding RNA, 280 nt
Organism: Oreochromis aureus
Lineage: Eukaryota; Metazoa; Chordata; Actinopteri; Cichliformes; Cichlidae
Exons: 3
Source: RefSeq, a predicted model, not a curated record
GACUCUUCACUCUGUGACCAGACGAGCUGGCAGCUUUCACGGCUGUAACGAGAUUGGAACUCGUCCAUGUGGGUCAGAGGAACGAUGGAAAGGUAACAGUCCGGCAGAGAGCAGGUGGAAGUGAGCAGCAUAAGUACUGAGGGGGUGAGUGGAGAUCAAGGAUCAGCUGAGCAGAUCAAGCAGUCUGUAAUUUCUGGCCUUCAUCAACAUCAAAAAAGGGGAAAAAGCUUAUAAGAAUUUUUCAUGACCUUCAAUAGUAAGUAGUUAUUUUUCAUGCAGA